This is a non-coding RNA of Caenorhabditis elegans, 258 nucleotides long. Lineage: Eukaryota; Metazoa; Nematoda; Chromadorea; Rhabditida; Rhabditidae. The record is from Ensembl.
CUGCUUAUUCAUCCUCUUACGGUUUACAGCUUCUUCCUCAACAAAAGUGACUUAGUCUCGAAAGGUGAAAAACACAAAGAGACGUAGAUAUAAGGGCGUGACUAAUUGAGUGUAGAAGAAGAAGAAGCAGCGCCUUGUACACCAUUUAGCCAUUAUUAUAAAUGCGACGCGGAAUGAGGUGUGUUACUGUUAUAACCACUUAGACACCCCCUGUCAAAUUUAUUUUACUGUUCUAAUAUACUACUUUGUUACGGUUUU